RNAcentral lists this ribosomal RNA (226 nucleotides) under uncultured bacterium. RNAcentral describes it as "partial 16S ribosomal RNA". It matches the Rfam family "Bacterial small subunit ribosomal RNA", at positions 538 to 763 of the family's 1533-position model. The record is from RNAcentral.
GCGUUAAUCGGAAUUACUGGGCGUAAAGCGUGCGCAGGCGGUUAUACAAGACAGGCGUGAAAUCCCCGGGCUUAACCUGGGAAUGGCGCCUGUGACUGUAUAGCUAGAGUGUGUCAGAGGGGGGUAGAAUUCCACGUGUAGCAGUGAAAUGCGUAGAUAUGUGGAGGAAUACCAAUGGCGAAGGCAGCCCCCUGGGAUAACACUGACGCUCAUGCACGAAAGCGUG